UCUACCCAUCCCCGCCUCUUCUUCAUUCCUCACUCCUUUCUCUUCCUGGAAAAAUCUUUGUUCAUUCUUUGAAAUCCCUUCAAGACAACUUCACAGCCACCCUCCACUCCUAAAACACUCACCUGGAGCCCUGUUUUCUCUUCCCUCACCCUGGAAGCAUGCUCCUCCUUAGUUCCCACGUGCCAUUGGAGCAGGUCCCCGUCCCAGCACACACCUGGUUCCGUGGAAUCACACGGACGUGCCUGUUCUCCACCUCUGCAUGUAUGACUAUGCACAUCGGAGAACAGAACCGGAACGUGUACCUAGAGCGGAGCUGCCACAGCCUCAAGGAUGAUUCUUUUUCUUUUCCACUUAAUAGUACAGAUGGCAAGCUGUGUCUACACUGGCACGUUACCUGAAAUGACAGGAACUUAAAAAAAAAAGUGUGCAGCGAGGCACAGAGAAAUGAGGACAGGGAGAGAAGGCGAGCCCUGGAAAGAAUGAGAAGGACACAGCGAUGCUAAUCACCAAAGGCUGACCUACGAGGGAAGCUUUUCAAGCAAGGGGAGUCGGACUCACAACACGGAAGAAGUGAGGAAGGAUUAUGUGGCCCAGGAACCCAAAAAGAAAUGUCUAUUGUUCAAGUGGGGCCAUCAGAGAUCUGGGAGAGGAAAGAGCCCACCGUGACUCUCAGGAGGCUCCCAUUGGUUGGGGAAGAGAGCAGACACACGACAAAACCUGAAGGAACCAAGGCAAUCAGGAAUGCCCAGAGUCUGGCCCUGCCCGGGAGCAUGGACGCUGGCGGACAUCACAGUGAGCCAGGAGCCACCGUGAGGUUUAAACUCCUUGCGUAAAACCGGAUCCCGUGUAUCUUUGCCUGUCAAGACUCAGCAGUCAUGUCGAAAUAAGUGAGCCAGUGUGAGAAAGUCCCCUUGGCUUCUUGACAGGCACAGGAGCCAAGGAAAUAUGGAAGGACAGUGCAACCUAGUGAUCAGUAUACAGCGGACGCACAACGCUGCUCAGACAAGUUCCAGAGAUUCCACAGGAAUCAAGGAUGGAGCACUAAAGCACUGACUCUUAAACUCUUCUGGGGUGGCACAAAUCAUUUGUUUUCAAGUUUAGUUUGAAGUCACAUUCCCUGGACAUUUGGGGGAACAUAAAGGAUUUACAGCAGGUAUAUGAUUAUGGAAAAAUUUAAGGAAAUCAGUUUCUAGAUAGUCAUCUUCCAUGUAACAGGCUCUUUUAGGAAACCAAUUUGUCUAAAACUCACUUGAAUGCCCAUUAGAUAUUUUAAUUCAAUAUAAGAAAGGCAUUCAUCUCAAUUAUUCCCAGACUUAGUGUGGCCCAGUGUCCUGAGGAAUGUAACCCUUUUAACCAUCAAGCAAAGAGAAA
Molecule: long non-coding RNA, 1371 nt
Organism: Manis javanica (Malayan pangolin)
Lineage: Eukaryota; Metazoa; Chordata; Mammalia; Pholidota; Manidae
Source: RefSeq, a predicted model, not a curated record